UUAAAUUUGAAAAUAUGUCCGUUACUCUCGGUCGGAGCAGCUGCUUUGCGUUGAUUACUCGGUCAGACCUGGAUUAUUUUAUAUCUGCCUGUUGAAUUCUUACAUUUUGAGCGAAUUUUAGUUGAUAUGACAAUGAAGAUCAAAAGCUGGAAUGUGAACAGAGGAUGGGGUCGUACGUGGUCUGUAAAUACUGGCGAUAUCAGAUCAAGCUUUGUAAUAAGAUUUUUAUCGGGGGAGAACACCCAACAGAAAGACCCAUGAUUCACCAACUGGCGCACUGAAAGGGGAGAUUCAUGUCACUUUCAUCAGUCCUUUCUUUAAUCACUGGACACCAUUAAGGGAAAGACCCUCAGACGUGUCAUAAUAGGAUAAAUGCGGCUGCAGGACAAGGCCUGGUGAGAGCCACUACAGAGGAUCAUAGCCAUUGUUGGAAUUCUGAAAGGACGUGGGUGAAUAUCAAUCUGCCAAAUGAACAUUCACAUCUGUAUAUUAAUACUGAUUAUAUAUGAACUUGUUUGUUUGUAACUGGAAAGAACUUAGCUUCUAUUGUUUUUGACUGAAGGACUUGACCGUGUUUUAAGCCUAUGUGCAUUUUCUAUUACCAGUACCUGCUCUGGCCGUGCUCCAUUUUCCAUUGCAGAUCAUACCCAGAGAUAGUACCCCUCAAUGCUGCUGGUCAGCAUAGCAAGGCCACACACAACUGCCGCGACGUACUGUUCAAUGCGACACACACACCUGCGACCCACAUACAGCUGUCUCUUGAUUUAAGUUAAAACGUUUCAGCAUUACUCAGAAUGUAAAGACAGAUACUUAAAGGUGCUCUAAGCAAUGCCAGGAGUCGUAACUUCUUGUUGACGUUCGAAUUGUUGUCAAACAAAACAGAGGCUAGCUAGACCCUCCCUCCUCCUCAUCCGUGCACUAAGCCCCCCAAACCCCACCCCCAAAUCUUUCUUGUCGGUUAUUGGCUGUAACAGUUUGUUAUGUUUCGUGGUGCGGGUGUGCCCAGUUUGUUUUUCUUGUUGUUUGUGGAGCCUGUGGUGUCUAGAGAGACCGUGUUUUUUUACAGUGUGUUCAGGGGACAGGCAGCUAGCGGAUAGUGAGGAGAUGUUUG
This is a long non-coding RNA of Cyprinus carpio carpio, 1111 nucleotides long. Lineage: Eukaryota; Metazoa; Chordata; Actinopteri; Cypriniformes; Cyprinidae. The record is from Ensembl.